GAUGAACGCUGGCGGCGUGCCUAAUACAUGCAAGUCGAGCGAACAGACGAGGAGCUUGCUCCUCUGACGUUAGCGGCGGACGGGUGAGUAACACGUGGAUAACCUACCUAUAAGACUGGGAUAACUUCGGGAAACCGGAGCUAAUACCGGGUAAUAUAUUGAACCGCAUGGUUCAAUAGUGAAAGACGGUUUUGCUGUCACUUAUAGAUGGAUCCGCGCCGCAUUAGCUAGUUGGUAAGGUAACGGCUUACCAAGGCAACGAUGCGUAGCCGACCUGAGAGGGUGAUCGGCCACACUGGAACUGAGACACGGUCCAGACUCUUACGGGAGGCAGCAGUAGGGAAUCUUCCGCAGUGGGCGAAAGCCUGACGGAGCAACGCCGCGUGAGUGAUGAAGGCCUUCGGAUCGUAAAACUCUGUUAUUAGGGAAGAACAAAUGUGUAAGUAACUAUGCACGUCUUGACGGUACCUAAUCAGAAAGCCACGGCUAACUACGU
RNAcentral lists this ribosomal RNA (496 nucleotides) under uncultured bacterium. RNAcentral describes it as "partial 16S ribosomal RNA". It matches the Rfam family "Bacterial small subunit ribosomal RNA", at positions 28 to 506 of the family's 1533-position model. The record is from RNAcentral.